This 438-nucleotide ribosomal RNA is filed under the name uncultured bacterium. Its description in RNAcentral is "bacterial SSU rRNA". It matches the Rfam family "Bacterial small subunit ribosomal RNA", at positions 337 to 791 of the family's 1533-position model. The record is from RNAcentral.
CCCUACGGGAGGCAGCAGUGAGGAAUAUUGGGCAAUGGGCGCAAGCCUGACCCAGCGACGCCGCGUGGGCGAAGAAGGCCUUCGGGUCGUAAAGCCCUUUUCUGCCGGACGAGCGAGGACGGUACGGCAGGAAUCAGUCACGGCUAACUACGUGCCAGCAGCCGCGGUAAAACGUAGGUGGCAAGCGUUAUCCGGAAUCACUGGGCGUAAAGGGCAUCUAGGCGGUCACGCAAGUUGCGUGUGAAAGCCUCCGGCUCAACCGGGGGAGGACAUGCAAAACUGCGCGGCUGGAGGGUCGGAGAGGGACGCGGAAUUCCCGGUGUAGUGGUGAAAUGCGUAGAGAUCGGGAGGAACACCCGUGGCGAAGGCGGCGUCCUGGCCGACACCUGACGCUGAAGUGCGAAAGCGUGGGGAGCAAACGGGAUUAGAUACCCCGGU